RNAcentral lists this unclassified non-coding RNA (576 nucleotides) under Hevea brasiliensis (rubber tree). The record is from RNAcentral. Lineage: Eukaryota; Viridiplantae; Streptophyta; Magnoliopsida; Malpighiales; Euphorbiaceae.
CCUCCUCUCUAACAUUAAAUGUAACUCUGUUUAAUUGUAAUGGUUGCUACUGCCUCUUCUAUGAAAAAACUUGCAUUGCUUGCUCGAGGAAUACCUAUGCUGCCUUUCAAUGCUUUUGUGAUCAAACCAUCUUGAGAAAAAUCUGAAUGCUUAACAUUACCUUGGCUGCCUGAGGCCCUGAGCUUAAUAUGUCCAUCUUAGUUAUAACUGAAUGCAACCUCUAGACUUGGUGUUGGAUGAGAAAAAUGUGUUUUUGUUAUUAUGCAAUCAUUUUGCUGUUGUGCUUGCUUUCACUAAUGCAUUCUGCAAAUAUGCAGCUUUUAGUUCAUAGACAAGAUUGAUAAUUUCGGUGGAAGCACAUAACCAUCAUUGUUAUGUCGUUUAUAUGGCUAUCUUCUUGGAGGCUCACUUUUGAAUGUGGCAUGUUUAAUUUGUUUGUGUGUGUUAAGUAUACUGCCUGACUGUUGCUAAAUCAUCUAAAGGCUGAUAUCACUGGACUAUUGUUUUUGAGGUUGAGUAUAGACAAGCUGGCAUAAUUUUCAAGAACAAAGCUGUCUCAACUCAACUCAACUCAAC